Molecule: transfer RNA, 64 nt
Organism: Cavia porcellus (domestic guinea pig)
Lineage: Eukaryota; Metazoa; Chordata; Mammalia; Rodentia; Caviidae
Rfam family: tRNA
About the family: Transfer RNA (tRNA) molecules are approximately 80 nucleotides in length. Their secondary structure includes four short double-helical elements and three loops (D, anti-codon, and T loops). Further hydrogen bonds mediate the characteristic L-shaped molecular structure. tRNAs have two regions of fundamental functional importance: the anti-codon, which is responsible for specific mRNA codon recognition, and the 3' end, to which the tRNAs corresponding amino acid is attached (by aminoacyl-tRNA synthetases). tRNAs cope with the degeneracy of the genetic code in two manners: having more than one tRNA (with a specific anti-codon) for a particular amino acid; and 'wobble' base-pairing, i.e. permitting non-standard base-pairing at the 3rd anti-codon position.
Source: Rfam
GGGGAUUUAGCUCAGUGGCAUAAGCACCUGCCUUGCAAGCAGGCGGUUGUGAGUUCAACCCCCG